UGUUUGACAAUCUACAAACAACCUCUCCCUCAAAGCUCACUCCAAACUCCCUAAAAAUCACAGUAAGAGCCAUACCAUAUGGCAAAGGAGCCUUGGAUCUGCUCAAGGCCUCUCUCAUGACAUCGAUUAACAAAAAAGAUAGAUUCAGGAGAGUCUCGGAGACAAUAUGAUACAUCAAGCAAAUGUCUCGAUCAGUUAUCAAAUCAUAUCUUUCUUCGUUCCUCAGCCUCUAAGGACCUCACUGACUUCCUUCUCUGUGGCAACCAUAUCUUGGGGGCUAUUGUCCCAAAGAGAGUAGGAGAACCGAUCAAGAGAAUAGAGAAGGGUGAAGGAUGGAUGGAAAUGAGGAGAAGAGGGUUUAGGGGUGAUUGUCAUGGAUUUUGCAAGUUAGGGCUUG
RNAcentral lists this long non-coding RNA (397 nucleotides) under Elaeis guineensis (African oil palm). RNAcentral's name for it is "long non-coding RNA (EGUI_LNC068749)". The record is from RNAcentral. Lineage: Eukaryota; Viridiplantae; Streptophyta; Magnoliopsida; Arecales; Arecaceae.